Molecule: ribosomal RNA, 436 nt
Filed under: uncultured bacterium
Lineage: Bacteria
Description: bacterial SSU rRNA
Rfam family: Bacterial small subunit ribosomal RNA
Source: RNAcentral
UGGGGAAUCUUGCACAAUGGACGAAAGUCUGAUGCAGCAACGCCGCGUGGGGGAUGAAGCUUCUCGGAGUGUAAACCCCUUUCGACCCGGACGAAUGCCCGCAAGGGCUUGACGGUACGGGUAUAAGAAGCCCCGGCUAACUACGUGCCAGCAGCCGCGGUAAUACGUAGGGGGCCAGCGUUGCUCGGAAUUACUGGGCGUAAAGGGUCCGUAGGCGGUGCGGCAAGUCGGAUGUGAAAUCUCUGGGCUUAACCCAGAGGCUGCUUCCGAAACUGCCGCGCUAGAGGAUGAGAGAGGCGAGUGGAAUUGCGGGUGUAGCGGUGAAAUGCGUAGAUAUCCGCAGGAACAUCCGAGGCGAAGGCGGCUCGCUGGAUCAUUUCUGACGCUGAGGGACGAAAGCUAGGGGAGCAAACAGGAUUAGAUACCCCGGUAGUCC